GGGCCGCUGGUCUAGUGGUAUGAUUCUCGCUUAGGGUCCUUGCGAGAGGUCCCGGGUUCGAUCCCCGGGUGGCCCC
RNAcentral lists this transfer RNA (76 nucleotides) under Thermochaetoides thermophila DSM 1495. RNAcentral's name for it is "Chaetomium thermophilum var. thermophilum DSM 1495 tRNA-Pro". Lineage: Eukaryota; Fungi; Ascomycota; Sordariomycetes; Sordariales; Chaetomiaceae. The record is from RNAcentral.